GCCUCAGUAGUAUAAUCCCAUUACCUUGGUCUUGUAAACCAAAAACGGAGCCUCAACGCUUCCUAAGGCA
Molecule: transfer RNA, 70 nt
Filed under: Sciurus aestuans (Guianan squirrel)
Lineage: Eukaryota; Metazoa; Chordata; Mammalia; Rodentia; Sciuridae
Description: Guerlinguetus aestuans (Guianan squirrel) tRNA-Thr
Source: RNAcentral